RNAcentral lists this ribosomal RNA (245 nucleotides) under uncultured bacterium. RNAcentral's name for it is "partial 16S ribosomal RNA". It matches the Rfam family "Bacterial small subunit ribosomal RNA", at positions 532 to 776 of the family's 1533-position model. The record is from RNAcentral.
GUGCAAGCGUAGGCCGGAAUUAUUGGGCGUAAAGAGCUCGUAGGCGGUCUGUUACGUCGGCUGUGAAAACCUGGGGCUCAACCCCGGGCCUGCAGCCGAUACGGGCAGACUAGAGUUCGGCAGGGGAGACUGGAAUUCCUGGUGUAGCGGUGAAAUGCGCAGAUAUCAGGAGGAACACCGGUGGCGAAGGCGGGUCUCUGGGCCGAAACUGACGCUGAGGAGCGAAAGCGUGGGGAGCAAACAGG